RNAcentral lists this ribosomal RNA (468 nucleotides) under uncultured bacterium. RNAcentral describes it as "partial 16S ribosomal RNA". It matches the Rfam family "Bacterial small subunit ribosomal RNA", at positions 28 to 507 of the family's 1533-position model. The record is from RNAcentral.
GACGAACGCUGGCGGCGUGCUUAACACAUGCAAGUCGAACGGAAAGGCCCUGCUUUUGUGGGGUGCUCGAGUGGCGAACGGGUGAGUAACACGUGAGUAACCUGCCCUUGACUUUGGGAUAACUUCAGGAAACUGGGGCUAAUACCGGAUAGGAGCUCCUGCUGCAUGGUGGGGGUUGGAAAGUUUCGGCGGUUGGGGAUGGUCUCGCGGCUUAUCAGCUUGUUGGUGGGGUAGUGGCUUACCAAGGCUUUGACGGGUAGCCGGCCUGAGAGGGUGACCGGCCACAUUGGGACUGAGAUACGGCCCAGAAUCCUACGGGAGGCAGCAGUGGGGAAUAUUGCACAAUGGGCGGAAGCCUGAUGCAGAAACGCCGCGUGCGGGAUGACGGCCUUCGGGUUGUAAACAGCUGUCGCCUGUGACGAAGAGUGAGUGACGGUAAUGGGUAAAGAAGCACCGGCUAACUACGUG